Molecule: ribosomal RNA, 484 nt
Filed under: uncultured bacterium
Lineage: Bacteria
Description: partial 16S ribosomal RNA
Rfam family: Bacterial small subunit ribosomal RNA
Source: RNAcentral
AUUGAACGCUGGCGGCAUGCUUUACACAUGCAAGUCGAACGGCAGCGCGGGCUUCGGCCUGGCUGCGAGUGGCGAACGGGUGAGUAAUGCAUCGGAACGUGCCCAGUAGUGGGGGAUAGCCCGGCGACAGCCGGAUUAAUACCGCAUACGACCUGGGGGUGAAAGCGGGGGACCGAAAGGCCUCGCGCUCUUGGAGCGGCCGAUGUCGGAUUAGCUAGUUGGUGGGGUAAAGGCUUACCAAGGCGACGAUCCGUAGCUGGUCUGAGAGGACGACCAGCCACACUGGGACUGAGACACGGCCCAGACUCCUACGGGAGGCAGCAGUGGGGAAUUUUGGACAAUGGGGGCAACCCUGAUCCAGCCAUGCCGCGUGCGGGAAGAAGGCCUUCGGGUUGUAAACCGCUUUUGUUCGGGAAGAAAUCCUCUGGGCUAAUACCCCGGGGGGAUGACGGUACCGGAAGAAUAAGCACCGGCUAACUACGUG